Molecule: ribosomal RNA, 253 nt
Filed under: uncultured bacterium
Lineage: Bacteria
Description: partial 16S ribosomal RNA
Rfam family: Bacterial small subunit ribosomal RNA
Source: RNAcentral
UACAGAGGUCUCAAGCGUUGUUCGGAUUCAUUGGGCGUAAAGGGUGCGUAGGCGGCGCGGUAAGUCGGGUGUGAAAUCUUGGAGCUUAACUCCGAAACUGCAUUCGAUACUGCCGUGCUUGAGGACUGGAGAGGAGACUGGAAUUUACGGUGUAGCGGUGAAAUGCGUAGAUAUCGUAAGGAACACCGGUGGCGAAAGCGGCUCACUGGAUCUUAUCUGACGCUGAGGCACGAAAGCCAGGGUAGCGAACGGG